This 2551-nucleotide unclassified non-coding RNA is filed under the name Daphnia magna. RNAcentral's name for it is "uncharacterized LOC116922522, transcript variant X5". Lineage: Eukaryota; Metazoa; Arthropoda; Branchiopoda; Diplostraca; Daphniidae. The record is from RNAcentral.
CAAAUCGAGUUCUUAAAAAACGCUAUUCUUUUUUUGUUGUAUUGUUUUUUCUUAACAUCCUGGUCGUCUGCCUGACUUAUCUUUUGCAAAGAAAAAGAAAAAAAAAAUUUUAAUUGAGGCGAAAGUUUUACAUAAUUUUGAGUAUUAGUGCCGCCAUAAGCAAAGCAGAACAAAGUACUCAUUGUAAUUUGUAAUUGGCCUUCGCUCACAGAAGGUAGCACGUGUUUUAAACUCAUUGCUUUGAUGAAAAUUGUGCUUCUUCACCUAACACUUCUGGGAAUAUCGUUCAGUGGAAAAUAUUCUUCAUCCUCAAUCACAUCAACUAAAAGCAAUGGCAGGAAAUCCUGCUCAGAUUUUAACAUUCUAUCUCCGUUGUUAAAGGAACCUUUCAAAAAAGGUUGGAAACGUGAAGUUGUCUACAGAGCCAUUGUUGGCAAUGAAAGAAGAAACAUGUGUGAUAUUUACUAUUUCACCCCAGAUGGGAAGAAGUUAAGAUCUGGGAGAGAACUUUCAAAUUAUUUGAACGGUACAAACAGCUCUUUUAAAUUAGAAAACUUCACAUUCUGCAGAGAACCUAUUGGCAUGGAUGUUAAACAUGAGGUGUUGCGUUUUGCCAGGUCAAAAACACAUCAAGAUGAAGAAGCAAGCAAAUGUGCUUUAAUCAUGAAUAAUGAAACAGUACGGACUCGUCCCAAAAAAGUUCUACGGCGUAGUUACCAAAAAGAGGACGACGAGGAGAAAGCACUGACGGCGAAAGAGUCAACAUCGAAGGCUAGUGCCCCAGUAAUUGGCGAUAAUAAUACUUCCUCCAAGCGUAACCAUACCAGACUUCGAAACACCCGUGCCCUAAUCCACAAAACAAUGCAUUCAUCCGAUUUAACCUUAACUCUGCAUAACUCAAGUUGUAAAUCCGAUAUUGGCUAUACCUCUGGACAAAGUAACAUUGAAGAAAGUUUUAAGUCACCAGUUUCAUCAGCUUCACCGAACCAGAUUUAUGAAGAAAAAACUGAAUCCCCGGUUCAGCAGUCAUUGGCCCUUACUCUGGAGUCGCCCGAAACGCUGCGGGAACCACAACCACACAGUUUGCCUCUUAUUACCCUUCUUCCAUGUGGUACGACUCUGGUCCUUUCCGAUUCGCAAAUCAUAACGAUCAUUUCUUCGAACAUCAACUCAAGUAUUACUCCAGUGAGAAGAAGUGAAACGAUUUCACCGAAGGUUUCCUUACCACCUGUUACCGACCUAUCUCAACUAACUGAUUUAUCAUCUGUAGCUUUUUUGAGUCCGAAAGCAGUCACCUCUUUGAAUAGUACGAAAUUCGAACAAUGUGCAAAAUCAAUUCCUGGUAGCACUCCGAUUCGCAGAAUUUUGUUACCGAAGACGGAUGGAUUCACGGUUCCUCGUUUUCUACCAGGUUAUGAAGGUCAGGUAUCGCUAGCUCCAUUUGGAACUGUUAACCGUAAGCGGUCGUAUUGGGCUAGUAUAGGUCAAGCAAUAAUCGAAGAGGGAUUGAAGAAGGCUAUGCUUGCACAUGCGUGCCCAACAAGUGGAAUGGUAGAGGAAACUCCUGUCCGUGUGACGGAAAAGCGUAGAAAACAUGUACCCAAAAGAUUUCAAGACGUUCUAAGACCUCCAUCACCAACAACUACCGUCCAAUUGACUUGUAAAGAUUAUUUUGCACUUCGUAAACAGCGUCGUCAACAGCAACUCUUUAGCCAAUCUUCCGUCACUGGAAGCAGUAUUACAAGCAACUAGCAACCAUGUUACAAACAAAUCGACAAAGAAAACUUCGAGCUAAAAUGAUGAUAGAAAAAGCUUUUCUAAUCUCCUGUGAUUCCCAAGACAGUGACCCUGUGCUACUCCAAAUGCAUGUUCUUAAACGACAUCAGCAGUCAUUAAAACACCUACUUGAAGGGGCAUUUCCUACUAGCAUGGUAACAUGUUCACUUAAAAGCAAUUGGUACAUGCCUUGUAUCUACCAAUCCAUUGUUUUUCGUUUUGAGCAUUAUGUCCCGACAAGCAAAGUUAUUUUCAAUUUAGCCGUUUUUGAGACUGCUUACCUGGACUGCCUGCUGAUUUUAAUUUUAUCUUGUGCAAUUUUUUCACGCUAAUUCAUUUUUUCGUACCUACCUUAUUCUUUUAACAAACUGAGGACAACUAAUACUUAGUAGACGGAAGGGAAAAAAUUCUCUGUAUUAUGGGACAGGGAUUCAUUUAAUAUAAUCAUGUAUGUUGUAUUAAAUAAUAUUUUUAGUCAUUUCGGUUUUGCCUGUUCUGAUGUUGGUAAACGGAACAUUGGAUGAGUGAAUAGAAAAAAGCAUGUCGUAAUUCGAAAUUGACCAUUGUAUCGAUGAUGCUAUGUAGUCAGCCAUGUGAACGCUGAAAAUGUUACAAAACCUUUUUACUUAUGUUUAUGUAUUUUGUAUAUGUCAAUUGAUUUUUGUUACCUUUUUGAAAUCCUACUGCAAACUCUGCAAAUAGCCAAAUGAAAAAACAUGUGUAAAAUGUAAAGUCAAAUGUCAAAUAGUAAAAGUAAAAAUUUUUUAAUGAAAAA